This 320-nucleotide small nuclear RNA is filed under the name Rattus norvegicus (Norway rat). Its description in RNAcentral is "7SK RNA". It matches the Rfam family "7SK RNA". From Rfam's summary of the family: 7SK was discovered as an abundant small nuclear RNA in the mid-70s but a possible function has only recently been suggested. Two independent studies have found that 7SK RNA binds the CDK9/cyclin T complex (known as elongation factor P-TEFb). The record is from Rfam by way of RNAcentral. Lineage: Eukaryota; Metazoa; Chordata; Mammalia; Rodentia; Muridae.
AGGAGCCGGAAUCUGACUGUGACAUCUGUUACCCCAUUGAUCACCAUGGUUGAUUAAAUUAAUCAGACUGACCAGGCUGGUAUCUUCUUCCUUCCUCACCUCUCUUUGUGUGUCCCACCUAAAUCGCCAUUCUCAGUGGAAGAGCAUGGCAUUCUCAAAAUAAAAGUGUCUGGCCUUCGGUCAAGGAAAUACAAGUUUAGCACUCCCUUGAUUAAACAUAAAAACAAGAUCUCAAGAUAAAAUUAACUGUGCAUCUGUGAAGUGGUGGCAAAAGACAUUGAUCCCAGACUCAGGAGGCAGAGGAAGGCAGAUCUCUGUGA